GCCGCUGUGCUGUCCCUAGGAAAGUGAAAGUACUAGGACAAUGACCCUUGCGCAGUGUGUCGGUGGUCACAUGGUCUGUCGCGGGUGCGGGACCAUGGCCCACGGCUCGAUGCUUGCCCUGUGCCCACCACUAAAAUGUUGGAGGCCACGUGACUGAGCCGCACCGCCUGGAGUCCGAGCUAGAGGAGUUGCCGCAGUGGAAGGACCAAAAUAUCAGACAGAAAAUGCGAUGUCCAAUGGUUCUACUGUAGUUAAACGUGUACAACAUUUUCCACAAUCUGCUCUCGACGGCGAUGAAAGGCCGCCCGAUAAUGGUACAGAUGCUGACAGCAACCAAGGAUUGAUUGCAUAAUGGGUCAUAUUGACACGUGAGCCAGGUCUGGCCAUGCAGCACAAGGCAUAUGUGGUAAUAGUAAAGUACGUGUUAUCAAAAUUGU
This is a long non-coding RNA of Dermacentor silvarum, 437 nucleotides long. RefSeq lists it as uncharacterized. The transcript is spliced from 3 exons. The record is from RefSeq and is a predicted model, not a curated record. NCBI's taxonomy places the organism in Eukaryota, Metazoa, Arthropoda, Arachnida, Ixodida, Ixodidae.